This is an RNA transcript of Fragaria vesca subsp. vesca, 1817 nucleotides long. It is a transcript of the gene named serine hydroxymethyltransferase 1-like, with no coding region annotated. The record is from RefSeq and is a predicted model, not a curated record. The transcript has 4 exons. NCBI's taxonomy places the organism in Eukaryota, Viridiplantae, Streptophyta, Magnoliopsida, Rosales, Rosaceae.
CCACUGCCAACCCCUCGACUGCUCUCUUUAGACCCCAUCAUGGACUUAUCAUCAUCCUCCAACCUCUCUUUGGGAUUUUCAUCCCACGCGCCGCCGUCGUCUCUCGACUCCGCCACCCACCCCGCACCUCCAUCAAUCCCGCUUCAAUUGCUCGAGCCGCAACCCGAGAGCCACACACCAACCACAGGUAACGACGAAAUCGGAGACGACGAGGAGGAGUUCCGGAUAUUGGGGCAUUCCAUGUGCUUGAAACGCCGCCGUGACAGAGAAUCCUCCUCCUCCUCUUCCUCCACUAAUUCCAAACGCCAACCUCCGCCGGACCUCGACGCCCGGAGGACAGUUGUCCGGGCCUGGGGCGACCAGCCUCUCCGAAUCGCCGACUCCGAUGUGUUCGAGAUUAUGGACAAGGAGAAGCAGAGGCAGUUCAAAGGGAUUGAACUCAUCGCCUCCGAGAAUUUCGUGUGCCGGGCAGUGAUGGAAGCCCUUGGAAGCCACUUGACCAACAAAUACUCGGAGGGAAUGCCCGGGGCGAGGUACUACGGCAGCAACCAGUACAUUGAUGAGAUCGAAACGCUUUGCUGUAACCGUGCCUUAGCUGCGUUCGGUCUUGAGUCGCAGAAUUGGGGUGUCAAUGUGCAGCCUUAUUCAUGCACAUCAGCCAAUUUCGCAGUGUACACCGGAUUGUUAUUGCCAGGUGAUAGAAUAAUGGCAUUGGAUACCCCAUCCGGAGGGAACACUAGCCAUGGAUAUUAUACUAGCAAUGGGAGGAAAGUUUCUGGAGCAUCCAUUUUCUUCGAGACAUUGCCCUAUAAGGUCAAUUUACAAACUGGAUAUAUUGAUUAUGAUAAGCUUGAGGAGAGGGCGCUUGAUUUUCGGCCCAAGAUACUUAUUUGUGGUGGUAGCUCGUAUCCCCGCGAAUGGGAUUAUGCAAGGUUUCGGCAGAUUGCUGAUAAAUGUGGAGCUGUGCUGCUGUGUGAUAUGGCGUAAAUUAGUGGCCUUAUUGCAGCCAAGGAAUGUGUAAAUCCUUUUGACUACUGUGACAUUGUUACUUCAACCACUCAUAAAAGCCUUCGGGGUCCCAGGGGAGGUAUAAUUUUUUAUAGGAAGGGUACAAAACCAAAGAAGAGGGGAUUUCUUUUAACUCAAGGAUGUGAAAGCGACCACUACGAUUUUGAGGAAAAGAUCAACUUUGCCGUUUUUCCAUCAUUGCAAGGUGGACCACACAAUAACCACAUCGCUGCUCUUGCCAUAGCUUUAAAGCAAGUGGCUACACCUGAAUACAAGGCAUAUAUGCAGCAAGUGAAGAAAAAUGCACAGGCUUUAGCAUCAUCUUUGCUGGGAAGAAAGUGCAGGCUAGUUACUGGUGGCACAGACAACCAUUUGCUACUCUGGGAUCUGAGGCCCCUAGGAUUAUCAGGCAAGAACUACGAGAAGGUAUGUGAAAUGUGUCACAUUACUGUCAACAAGAUCACCAUUUUUGGUGAUAAUGGAACUAUUACUCCUGGAGGAGUGAGGAUUGGUACCCCUGCUAUGACUUCAAGAGGUUGUUUGGAGGUGGAUUUUGAGACAAUUGCAGAUUUUCUCCUCAGAGCAGCACAAAUUGCGUCUGUAGUGCAAAGAGAGCAUGGGAAGUUGCAAAAGCCUUUUUUGAAGGGUCUUGAGAGCAAUAAGGAUAUUGUUGAGCUUAGGACCAGAGUUGAAAACUUUGCUUCUCAAUUUGCAAUGCCAGGAUAUGAUAUUUGAAUCGAGUAUGAGUGCCAGUUUCUGAAAUCUGAACGUCUGUCCUGGUACGGACAUCCCGGAGCAUGUCAUGUGAG